CAGUCGAACGAACCAUCCUGAUGAUUGAAGCUUGCUUCAUGAUUCAGACCUUGGUGAGUGGCGGACGGGUGAGUAACACGUGGGUAACCUGCCCAGAAGUGGGGGAUAACAUUUGGAAACAAGUGCUAAUACCGCAUAACAACUUAGAUCACAUGAUCUUUGUUUAAAAGAUGGUUUUGCUAUCUCUUCUGGAUGGACCCGCGGCGUAUUAGCUAGUUGGUGAGGUAAUAGCUCACCAAGGCGAUGAUACGUAGCCGACCUGAGAGGGUAAUCGGCCACAUUGGGACUGAGACACGGCCCAAACUCCUACGGGAGGCAGCAGUAGGGAAUCUUCCACAAUGGACGAAAGUCUGAUGGAGCAAUGCCGCGUGAGUGAAGAAGGUUUUCGGAUCGUAAAACUCUGUUGUUGAAGAAGAAUAUAUGUGAGAGUAACUGUUCACGUACUGACGGUAUUCAACCAGAAAGCCACGGCUAACUACGUGCCAGCAGCCGCGGUAAUACGUAGGUGGCAAGCGUUGUCCGGAUUUAUUGGGCGUAAAGAGAAUGUAGGCGGUUUAUUAAGUUUGAAGUGAAAGCCCUCGGCUCAACCGAGGAAGUGCUUCGAAAACUGG
Molecule: ribosomal RNA, 611 nt
Filed under: Companilactobacillus paralimentarius
Lineage: Bacteria; Bacillati; Bacillota; Bacilli; Lactobacillales; Lactobacillaceae
Description: bacterial SSU rRNA
Rfam family: Bacterial small subunit ribosomal RNA
Source: RNAcentral